CUGAUGGAGGGGGAUAACUACUGGAAACGGUAGCUAAUACCGCAUAACGUCGCAAGACCAAAGAGGGGGACCUUCGGGCCUCUUGCCAUCGGAUGUGCCCAGAUGGGAUUAGCUAGUAGGUGGGGUAACGGCUCACCUAGGCGACGAUCCCUAGCUGGUCUGAGAGGAUGACCAGCCACACUGGAACUGAGACACGGUCCAGACUCCUACGGGAGGCAGCAGUGGGGAAUAUUGCACAAUGGGCGCAAGCCUGAUGCAGCCAUGCCGCGUGUAUGAAGAAGGCCUUCGGGUUGUAAAGUACUUUCAGCGGGGAGGAAGGGAGUAAAGUUAAUACCUUUGCUCAUUGACGUUACCCGCAGAAGAAGCACCGGCUAACUCCGUGCCAGCAGCCGCGGUAAUACGGAGGGUGCAAGCGUUAAUCGGAAUUACUGGGCGUAAAGCGCACGCAGGCGGUUUGUUAAGUCAGAUGUGAAAUCCCCGGGCUCAACCUGGGAACUGCAUCUGAUACUGGCAAGCUUGAGUCUCGUAGAGGGGGGUAGAAUUCCAGGUGUAGCGGUGAAAUGCGUAGAGAUCUGGAGGAAUACCGGUGGCGAAGGCGGCCCCCUGGACGAAGACUGACGCUCAGGUGCGAAAGCGUGGGGAGCAAACAGGAUUACAUACCCUGGUAGUCCACGCCGUAAACGAUGUCGACUUGGAGGUUGUGCCCUUGAGGCGUGGCUUCCGGAGCUAACGCGUUAAGUCGACCGCCUGGGGAGUACGGCCGCAAGGUUAAAACUCAAAUGAAUUGACGGGGGCCCGCACAAGCGGUGGAGCAUGUGGUUUAAUUCAAUGCAACGCGAAGAACCUUACCUGGUCUUGACAUCCACGGAAGUUUU
RNAcentral lists this ribosomal RNA (875 nucleotides) under Escherichia coli. Its description in RNAcentral is "bacterial SSU rRNA". It matches the Rfam family "Bacterial small subunit ribosomal RNA", at positions 130 to 1000 of the family's 1533-position model. Lineage: Bacteria; Pseudomonadati; Pseudomonadota; Gammaproteobacteria; Enterobacterales; Enterobacteriaceae. The record is from RNAcentral.